GAAGCGCUUGCGGAAGGUCCCCGCCCCCAGGAUCAGGCUCCCCCUGCAAGGGGACGAUGCAAAGAUGUCUGAGUCCUUAAAAAAGACAAGAUAA
Molecule: small RNA, 94 nt
Filed under: Pan troglodytes (chimpanzee)
Lineage: Eukaryota; Metazoa; Chordata; Mammalia; Primates; Hominidae
Description: processed transcript
Source: RNAcentral